Molecule: ribosomal RNA, 435 nt
Filed under: uncultured bacterium
Lineage: Bacteria
Description: partial 16S ribosomal RNA
Rfam family: Bacterial small subunit ribosomal RNA
Source: RNAcentral
GAUGAACGCUGGCGGUAUGCUUAACACAUGCCAGUCGAACGGACUCUUCGGAGUUAGUGGCGGUCGGGUGAGUAACGCGUGAUAAUCUGGCCUUGGGUUCGGGACAACCACUGGAAACGGUGGCUAAUACCGGAUGUGCCGAGAGGUGAUAGAGAAAGUGCCUGAAGAUGAGCUCGCGUCUGAUUAGCUAGUUGGUGAGGUAAAGGCUCACCAAGGCAGCGAUCAGUAGCUGGUCUGAGAGUAUGACCAGCCACACGGGGCCUGAGACACGGCCGAGACCCCUGCGAGAGGCAGGAGUGGGGAAUUGUCCGCAAGGGGCGAAAGCCUGGCAGAGAAAUACCGCGUGAGGUAAGAAGGCUCUUGUGUUGUAAAGCUCUUUCCUUAGGGAAGAACAAAAUGACGGUACCUAAUGAAUAAGCACCGGCUAACUCCGUG